UAGCUCAGACUGUAAAGCAUCUGCCUUCAGUGCAGGAGACCCAGGUUUGAUCCCUGG
Molecule: transfer RNA, 57 nt
Filed under: Capra hircus (goat)
Lineage: Eukaryota; Metazoa; Chordata; Mammalia; Artiodactyla; Bovidae
Also listed under: 1 other name
Rfam family: tRNA
About the family: Transfer RNA (tRNA) molecules are approximately 80 nucleotides in length. Their secondary structure includes four short double-helical elements and three loops (D, anti-codon, and T loops).
Source: Rfam by way of RNAcentral